This 200-nucleotide small nucleolar RNA is filed under the name Naumovozyma dairenensis CBS 421. Lineage: Eukaryota; Fungi; Ascomycota; Saccharomycetes; Saccharomycetales; Saccharomycetaceae. The record is from RNAcentral.
AUGGGCUAUUAUCACCUUAGCUAUGACGCCUUCAGAUAGUUGCGGUAAACGAAGCCCAUAGAUUACGGUUAUCCUAACACGUUAGUUAUAUAAUUUCGGUUAUAUAACGACCAGAGUGAGAAGAAACACCAAGAGAAGGGCCUUCAUCCCUUCACUUUACCAUUUUCUAUUUCUUUUCAUUUUGAAAACGUGCUACAUUC